This is a long non-coding RNA of Brassica rapa (field mustard), 2328 nucleotides long. RefSeq lists it as uncharacterized. NCBI's taxonomy places the organism in Eukaryota, Viridiplantae, Streptophyta, Magnoliopsida, Brassicales, Brassicaceae. The record is from RefSeq and is a predicted model, not a curated record.
UGUCACAUUCAAAAACUAUCAAUAAAAAAUAUAAUUCUCCAUCUACAACCAGAAAAAAGAAAAACUAUAAACAUAUAAAUUUAAAUUAAGAAAAACUAACAUUGGAAAAACAAAAAAUUAAUGUAAAAGAAACAAACCGACAAAUAAUAUUAUAAAUAAAAUAAAUUUAUAAGACACAAUCCGCGCGAAGCGCGGAAAAAAUCUCUAGUAUAUUGAAUAGUGUUUGUAAAGCUGAACUUGGAAUUGAUGCAAGACUUAAAUUUAGCUAAGUAGGAUAAAUUUUCUUAUCAAUAAAUUUAGAAUAAACAUAUAAUAUGUUUGAUGUUCAGAUUUUUUAAUAUAAUUAGCAAAACAAAAAUACAAAAUUCAGUAUUUCUUAUCUAUGCUGUAUGUUUGAUGUUCGUUUGGUGUUAUAGAACUACAUCACAUUUUUGACACAUAAUUACAUAAAACAUACUAAUUAAAGUGGUUUUGAAAGGAAAUUAAAUUAGGCUUUGAUAUCAGCCAGUUAUAUUACACGGUGAAGCCCAAAAAAAUUGUGAAUUAAGUUGAGCUCUCAUGAUCCACAAAAUAAUCACAUAUCCUCAUCCAGCCCCUUUUGAAAUAUUGAUAAUCUAAUGUGACCGUUCAGGAAGAGGAAAAAAAAACAUAAAUAAAGGUAAUUGAAAAAAAAAACACAAAUCUUUUGGCGAUUUUAGUUUUGAAAAAUCUAUAGGAUGGAUGGAUCAUAUAUUUAUAAGAGAUCUGAUAUUCAAUGGAAGUAGGUAAAAUCUUUCCAAAAUCAUGUUGAUACCAACUUGAAUAAAAGAUGCGUAUGUGGGAGAAUAAAUGUUGCAAUCUUGCGACACUAAAAAGAGAAUAAGCUCAAAGUUCAGGGCUUCCACAUCUGCAUAUUAAAUCAACCAAUAAAAAGAAGUUAUUAUGCCACAUUCUUACUACUCGUAGAGUGAAGAAAACAAGUGGGACUUUUUAUCCCAUUGAAACCCAUAUCCUGAUCCUGAAUUGAUCUCAACGAAAACCCUAUCGUUCAUUGCCACACACUUUUUUAUCCCAUUGAAGUCCAUUGUUCAUCUUUUUCUAUUUCUUGAACUUUAACACUCACACUCUUCAUCUUCCUCACCCCCAUCUGCAUAACCCAGCCGUUGCAACCUUUUCUGAUUCUCCCUAACGUUGGCGACCCACCUCUUAACGUCAUAAAGUCUCAUUACUCAUUUGUACAGAAAAAAUCAACAACCAAAGAGAUUUUACCACUAUAUAAACCGAUGGCAUGAUCCAGGUCCCAUACAGACCUCAUCAUAUCGUCCCACUUUAGGAACCAUCCUUAUGACUUCUCAGAGCAAAAUAACUCCAGUUUUGCGAGGAGGCUAUGUUGCGGUGAGAAAGUUUGUGUUGAGAACGACGUACGGUAGCUUGAUGUGUAGAUUGCACCGCCGAGAAAGAAAAAAAAUGUUUACAACACAAGGAAGUAGCAACGUGAUUUCAUGGUAGCAUGCUUAAACGCUAAUUAGUUUACUUUUCACUUUCUGAUUCCUUUCUUUUUUUUUUUUUGGUCAAAAUUCCUUUCAUUUUUUUAUUUUUUCUAUUACUUAGGUCUUUUAUCAAAUUUUGUAUGUGUUUUCUGGUUCGUCUACCAAAUUUUCUAUGUUAAUAAAUGGUCUCUGCGUCUUUUGUUCAAACCUUUUUCGGACAGUUAGAAACCAUCUGCGCCUGUAUAUAUAAUAAAUGGGCGCACUCACUCAUGUCUGUGAUUGUUUUUUGUAGGAGAAAUGUAUAUGUAUGACUGCAUCGAUAUUAUUGAACUGGUCACUCCACUGCCAUCUCCAAUAGCUUGAGUAGAAAAGGAUAUUCGGAGAUUUAUACAUCUAAACUAUGGUGGUGUUCUGUGUUUUACAUCUCAGCAGCUGGAGAAAUAUAUAUUCACUGAAACGUCUUUGUUUGCAUGCCAAAGUGUAUUGUGUUUGUUUAUUUGCUUAUAUGGUUCAGGUGUACUAUAUUUAGCUCUGAAUAAGUUUUUAGGAUUUUUCCGUGCAUUUCUUCAACUAAUGUUGCUCAUACUUUGGUUUGUUAUCAGGUACCUCAAUAUUGACACAUCUGGAAGGUAAGCCCAUGUUCUGAUAUCUUAGCAAUAAAGAAAAGGCAUGUGCGGAAGAGGAGCUCAAACAGAGUCGGUGAAGCUGCAAACCAACAUGAAAAGAACAUAUGGUUACGGGAAGCUGUAAACUGAAAAAGGAAGAAAGUAUUGGUGAAUGAAGAUAUUGUAAUUUGUAAAUGAGUUGCAGGAAGAACUUAUUCGUUGGUUUUUAUAAUUAAAAUAACAGUUUGUGGAGA